Molecule: ribosomal RNA, 550 nt
Filed under: uncultured eukaryote
Lineage: Eukaryota
Description: bacterial SSU rRNA
Rfam family: Eukaryotic small subunit ribosomal RNA
Source: RNAcentral
CUGGUUGAUCCUGCCAGUAGUCAUAUGCUUGUCUUAAAGAUUAAGCCAUGCAUGUCCAAGUAUAAGCCCCCAUGGGGUGAAACUGCGGAUGGCUCAUUAAAUCGGUUGGAAUCUACACGAGAGUGUAACUUAAACGGAUAACCACGGAAAAUCUGCGGCUAAUACGUGCAUAAAAGUGGUCUUCUGGAUCACUGCAUUUAUCAGAUUGAAAGGAUGGGGGUAACCCCAACUUGAAUGAUGAUAAAUCAUCUCGCGGAUCGCACUAGCUUGACUAGGCGACAAUUCGUUCGACUUUCCGCCCUAUCAACUUUGGAUGGUAGUGUAGUGGACUACCAUGGUGGUUACGGGUGACGGAGAAUUGGGGUUCGAUUCCGGAGAGGGAGCCUGAGAGAUGGCUACCACUUCCAAGGAAGGCAGCAGGCGCGAAAAUUGCCAAACCUACAAAGUAGGAGGCAGUGACAAUAAAUAUCGGAGGGUCAAUUGAUCCGACUGGAAUGAGAUGGAUGUAAAUAAAUCUACGAGAAACAAUUGGAGGAAAAGUCUGGUGCCA